Molecule: ribosomal RNA, 253 nt
Filed under: uncultured bacterium
Lineage: Bacteria
Description: partial 16S ribosomal RNA
Rfam family: Bacterial small subunit ribosomal RNA
Source: RNAcentral
UACGAAGGGGGCUAGCGUUGUUCGGAAUUACUGGGCGUAAAGCGCACGUAGGCGGAUAUUUAAGUCAGGGGUGAAAUCCCAGAGCUCAACUCUGGAACUGCCUUUGAUACUGGGUAUCUCGAGUAUGGAAGAGGUGAGUGGAAUUCCGAGUGUAGAGGUGAAAUUCGUAGAUAUUCGGAGGAACACCAGUGGCGAAGGCAGCUCACUGGGCCAUUACUGACGCUGAGGUGCGAAAGCGUGGGGAGCAAACAGG